This 795-nucleotide ribosomal RNA is filed under the name uncultured fungus. RNAcentral describes it as "SSU rRNA". It matches the Rfam family "Eukaryotic small subunit ribosomal RNA", at positions 314 to 1114 of the family's 1831-position model. The record is from RNAcentral. Lineage: Eukaryota; Fungi.
AUCAACUUUCGAUGGUAGGAUAGAGGCCUACCAUGGUGGUAACGGGUAACGGGGUGUUAGGGCACGACACCGGAGAGGGAGCCUGAGAAACGGCUACCACAUCCAAGGAUGGCAGCAGGCGCGCAAAUUACCCAAUCCCGACACGGGGAGGUAGUGACAAUAAAUAACAAUACGGGGUUCUUUCGGAUCUCGUAAUUGGAAUGAGUACAAUUUAAAUCUCUUAACGAGGAACAAUUGGAGGGCAAGUCUGGUACCAGCAGCCGCGGUAAUUCCAGCUCCAAUAGCGUAUAUUAAAGUUGUUGCAGUUAAAAAGCUCGUAGUUGAAUUUCGGGAUCAAUAUGCUGGUCGUGCCAUUGGUACGUACUAGUAUUAUUGGUUUCUUCCUUCUGAUGAAUCGUGAUGUCAUUAAGUUGAUGUCAUGGGGAAUCAGGACUGUUACUUUGGAAAAAUUAGAGUGUUUAAAGCAGGCUCGCGCUUGAAUACAUUAGCAUGGAAUAAUGAAAUAGGACGUUUGAUUCUAUUUGUUGGUUUCUAGGAUUGACGUAAUGAUUAAUAGGGAUAGUUGGGGGCAUUAGUAUUCAAUUGUCAGAGGUGAAAUUCUUGGAUUUAUUGAAGACUAACUACUGCGAAAGCAUUUGCCAAGGAUGUUUUCAUUAAUCAAGAACGAAAGUUGGGGGCUCGAAGACGAUCAGAUACCGUCCUAGUCUCAACCAUAAACGAUGCCGACCAGGGAUCAGCGGAUGUUACUUUUAGGACUCCGCUGGCACCUUAUGGGAAACCAAAGUGUUUGGGUUC